GCGUACUUAGCUCAAUGGUUAGAGCAUCACUCAUGAAUGCUGAUCGUGGGUUUGGGUCCCACAGUACACA
RNAcentral lists this transfer RNA (70 nucleotides) under Puccinia sorghi. It matches the Rfam family "tRNA". Rfam says of the family: Transfer RNA (tRNA) molecules are approximately 80 nucleotides in length. Their secondary structure includes four short double-helical elements and three loops (D, anti-codon, and T loops). The record is from Rfam by way of RNAcentral. Lineage: Eukaryota; Fungi; Basidiomycota; Pucciniomycetes; Pucciniales; Pucciniaceae.